GCCUGGGUAGCUCAGUUGGUUAGAGCAUGGUGCUGAUAAUGCCAAGGUUGCAGGUUCAAUCCCCAUAUGGGACA
This 74-nucleotide transfer RNA is filed under the name Podarcis lilfordi (Lilford's wall lizard). It matches the Rfam family "tRNA". From Rfam's summary of the family: Transfer RNA (tRNA) molecules are approximately 80 nucleotides in length. Their secondary structure includes four short double-helical elements and three loops (D, anti-codon, and T loops). Lineage: Eukaryota; Metazoa; Chordata; Lepidosauria; Squamata; Lacertidae. The record is from Rfam by way of RNAcentral.